GCUUAAGAAGAGGGGUGAGAAAAAGUCUUAUAAAACGCGAGUGAGCAUCUCCGACACGGCAACAACUGCAGUGCACUUUUUGCCAUCAGCUCUCAGCUAUCUGCCAUCAUCUGUUCUCAAUCAUGGUUGUUUUUAAGGACAAGAAAAGGCGAAAAAAAUCAGUCGAGUGAGCAUCUCCGAUAUGCAAGAGCUGUUGUGCGCCAUUCUUCACCAACUGCAUUCUUCGUCGAAUUGCUAGUUUAAAAUCAUGGUAAACUUUGGCGUCGUGCUGCUGUUGAGUGUUGUAUAGCUGACCGCUGGUUCAGCCAUGGUGUACCAAUGUCUCCUGGGUAUGGCGGAUAACAAAUCGCAACGCCACCACCUUACUACAAAACAUACGACCCGACCAGUUGCUACACCAAGGCCCCCAAGUACUACACCACCAAGGUUCCAGAUUAUUAUACCCCAACUUAUGCUGCCCUGAGCUACUACCCCGAAGUAUUAUUCUUUCCCGAGCUACAGUACCAGAGGUUUGAGUACUACACCGUUGCUCCGAAGAACUAUACUACCAAUACACCGGAGUACUGCACAACUACACAUGGGUAAAUAUUCUGUUACAUGGAGAUAGAAAAGGUGAAAGAAAUCAGUCGAGUGGUCAUCUCUGACACGACAACAGCAACUGCAGUGCCAAGGAUCAGUAUUACACCACAACUUAUGUUGCCCCGAGAUACUACACCAAAGCGCCUGAGUGCUAUAUCGAGGCCACUAAUCACUACACCACUAAGGCAUCGGAUUACUACACUGCAACAUACGCUGCCCCAGCUUAUUACACCGAGGAUCCCCAACACUACACCCCCAAGGCACCGGAGUGCUACACCACCACAUAUCAUGGUCGUAUGAAAGGAGAGAAAAGGUGAAAGAAUUCAGCAGCCGAGUGAGCAUCUCCGCUACAGCAACAGGAACUGCCGUGCACUAGUUGUCAUCAACUUCAUUCUUCGUCGCGUUACAAGUGUUAAAUAAAGUGAUAACUAUGUGCGUCGUGCUGCUGUUGGGUAACGUAUCGUUGAUGGCUGGGUCGACCACUGGUGUACCGAUGUCUCCUGGGUAUGGCGGGUACCAAAGCACAACACUGCCGUGCCGUCUUACUAUUUAGCAUCAACUUCCGCUGCUCCAGCUUACUACACUGAGGCUCAAGUGCUACACCACCAAGGCUCCAGAGUAUUACACCAAAUCUCAUGUUGCCCCGAGCUACUACACUGAAUGCCCGAAGUAUUAUUCUUCCCCGAGUAUGACUACCUUCACCACGCCGCCUCCUUACUAAACAACAACGUCAACACCUUCUUACUAUACAAAGACCUCAACUACUAUACCGAGGAUUUAACUUGUUACACCACCGAAAUUCUCAAGUACUGCGCUACAACCUACGUUUCCCCAGCUAACACCACGAAGGCAGCGGAGUGCUACACCAAGAAGGCAGUCAGUUUACUUACUACAACCUACGGUGCUCCAGAAUACUACAACACAAGGCACAAGGCACCCGAGUUUUGCAUCACUACUUUCGUUACUACCACAUAACACCGAAGCUCUGAAAGUACUUCUCUGCCCCGAGUUACUACACGACUUACGCAGCCGAAUAUGACACCCCAAACUACGUUUCCGUAAUUUUCUACAAGGAAACUCCUUAUUACUAGAGCCGAAAUUUCUACUCGAGGUUAUUUACAUUUAUCGGUUAUUUUCAUGGUAAUUGGUCGCUGGCAAUUAAUUGUUGAUCUUUAAUGAAAAAAAAAAAAACAGUUUUAAUAUGGGUAACAGUUUUGUUAGUAACUUCAAGCCUGUCAACAUUGCGACAGGUGUCUUUUGGUGUUGGAUUUCUUCAAGGCCAGUAAUAUGCCGAGUUGCAAAUUGUUUUAUGUUUAACUACUGCCGUUACUUUGCAUGUUCUUAUGAUUUGACGAUGACGUUUCAAGGGUAAAAAGAGAAAGAAACUUGUAACAGUUGAUUUUUCAAAUCUUUUAAGUAAUAAGCAA
Molecule: long non-coding RNA, 2006 nt
Filed under: Daphnia pulicaria
Lineage: Eukaryota; Metazoa; Arthropoda; Branchiopoda; Diplostraca; Daphniidae
Description: uncharacterized LOC124342912, transcript variant X3
Source: RNAcentral